UACGUAGGGGGCAAGCGUUGUCCGGAUUUAUUGGGCGUAAAGAGCGUGUAGGCGGCUUUACAGGUCCGUUGUGAAAACUCGAGGCUCAACCUCGAGACGCCGGUGGAAACCGUAAAGCUAGAGUCCGGAAGAGGAGAGUGGAAUUCCUGGUGUAGCGGUGAAAUGUGUAGAGAUCGGGAGGAACACCGGUGGCGAAGGCGGGUCUCUGGGCAUCUCCUGACGCUGAGGCGCGAAAGCGUGGGGAGCAAACGGG
Molecule: ribosomal RNA, 253 nt
Filed under: uncultured bacterium
Lineage: Bacteria
Description: partial 16S ribosomal RNA
Rfam family: Bacterial small subunit ribosomal RNA
Source: RNAcentral